Molecule: transfer RNA, 59 nt
Filed under: Dipodomys ordii (Ord's kangaroo rat)
Lineage: Eukaryota; Metazoa; Chordata; Mammalia; Rodentia; Heteromyidae
Rfam family: tRNA
About the family: Transfer RNA (tRNA) molecules are approximately 80 nucleotides in length.
Source: Rfam by way of RNAcentral
UGGCUCAGUAGGUAGAGUGCUUGCCUUGCAUGCAUGAGACCCUGGGUUCGAUUCCUCAG